Molecule: ribosomal RNA, 403 nt
Filed under: uncultured bacterium
Lineage: Bacteria
Description: partial 16S ribosomal RNA
Rfam family: Bacterial small subunit ribosomal RNA
Source: RNAcentral
AUUGCAUGCUGGCGGCAGGCCUAAUACAUGCAAGUCGAGCGAGCGGCGGACGGGUGAGUAAUGUAUGGGGACUGCCCGAUAGAGGGGGAUAACUACUGGAAACGGUAGCUAAUACCGCAUACUAUCGGAUAACCCAUAUGGGAUUAGCUAGUAGGUGAGGUAAUGGCUCACCUAGGCGACGAUCCCUAGCUGGUCUGCGAGGAUGAUCAGCCACACUGUGACUGAUGCGCGGCCCAGACUCCUACGGAGGCAGCAGUGGGGAAUAUUGCACAAUGGGAGCGAGCCUGAUGCAGCAAUGCCGGGUGUAUGAAGAAGGCCUUCGGGUUGUAAAGUACUUUCAGCGGGGAGGCGUUACCCGCAGAAGAAGCACCGGCUAACGCCAUGCCAGCAGCCGCGGUAAUAC